UCCAUCCAUUAUCACAUCACGUCCGUCGUUCAAUGCUGUUACUAGU
This 46-nucleotide small RNA is filed under the name Arabidopsis thaliana (thale cress). RNAcentral's name for it is "ATSL002410". The record is from RNAcentral. Lineage: Eukaryota; Viridiplantae; Streptophyta; Magnoliopsida; Brassicales; Brassicaceae.